CGCAUCUGUGCAUGCAGCAUAUCAAUAAGCGGAGGAAAAGAAACUAACAAGGAUUCCCUUAGUAACGGCGAGUGAAGCGGGAAGAGCUCAAAUUUGAAAUCUUCAAGGUUUUACCUUGACGAAUUGUAGUUUAAAGAAGUGUUUUCUGUUGAAGUUUUGGUAAAAGUUCUUUGGAAUAGGACAUCAUAGAGGGUGAGAAUCCCGUAUUUGACCAUUAUUUUCAGCUGUGUGAUACACUUUCAAAGAGUCGGAUUGUUUGGGAAUGCAGUCCAAAAUGGGUGGUAAAUUUCAUCUAAAGCUAAAUAUCGGCGAGAGACCGAUAGCGAACAAGUACCGUGAGGGAAAGAUGAAAAGAACUUUGAAAAGAGAGUUAAACAGUACGUGAAAUUGUCAAAAGGGAAGCGUUUGACACCAGUGUUGUUUUUCCGAAAAUCAAUUACGAAUGGCUUGAUCUGUGUUGUAUUGACCUUAUCAGCUUUCUUCACUUUUUUCGAGUCUUUCUUAAUGCACUUUUUGGUUAACAAGUCAACAUCAAUUUCUUUUGUUGUAAAAGAGUAUUCGGAAGGUGGCUUUCUUUUCGGAGAAAGUGUUUAUAGCCCUAUACUUCUACAAUCGGAGAGAUUGAGGUCUGCAGCGUAGAUCCUUCGGGGUUAGAUACACUUGUGCUAAGUUGUAGCUUUUCAUAGGCAACUCGUUGACUAUGUUUAGUCAUGCGGCUUACUCGCUUGUGCUAUUUUACCUACGCUUAGGAUGUUGAAGACUCUACAGAGAUA
Molecule: ribosomal RNA, 773 nt
Filed under: uncultured Neocallimastigales
Lineage: Eukaryota; Fungi; Neocallimastigomycota; Neocallimastigomycetes; Neocallimastigales
Description: partial large subunit ribosomal RNA
Rfam family: Eukaryotic large subunit ribosomal RNA
Source: RNAcentral